CCGUUUUCGCCGCUAUUUUGAUGGCCGUUUUUUGUUAAGCUUUUAGAUUUGGGUAAAGCCAAACUGGAGAAAAUGCACUCGGUUCAGGUGGGGUUAAGAGGUUACAAAGUUAAUUGCGUACCAUAGCGCAUUGAGUUGCCUUGUGUACGAAAUGCGCUAUGGUAUAAAGUUGCCUUGCCUAUGUCGAGCGGUAAAGUGAAUGUGUGAUACCAAUUGACAAAUUAGGAGAAAGUUACGGCAAAAUAACGUAAAGAUUUGAAAAACCGUCCCUGUUAAAUAUCCACAAAAAACAAAACGCUUUUUAAUGAGCUUACCAAAAUAUGCCAAAUUUUAUGUUUACUCAAUGCGAAAAGAUAUUCAUCUCAAAGAGGCCUAAAUGCAAUCGUUGUAUAGAUGCAAUAAUAAUAUUAACAACCCUGUUUGUUUCCACCUGUCUUGUCACCUGGUUCUAUGCCCCGCCCAUGGGCCCACCCCUGAAAAAACACAUGGUCAAGUGAACGCGUAGAGCAAUCGUCCCAACCUCGUGGAUUCUGUAUACGCGUCCGUCGAUUGAAAUUAUACAGUACGGAGGGACCAGAGAACAUGUUUCUUUCAGAUGAAAUCUAUAGAGCCAUUGUGGUUUAUUUGCUCUUGAGGAGAGAAAGGAUGAGACAAGAAGAAAGUGAAUUCGAAUCCGAAGAAUCUUGUUCCGAAGACGGUGAGGAUGAAAUGAAUCCAACCGAAAUGCGAGGAAACGGAGACACUUAUGGUUUGAGCAAUGACGGCUUCCCCGCUGACCCUCCCACUAUUUCCACUGAUAACUCCACUGUCCCCUCCUCUGCCCAGCCCAAUGCCACCUACACGGUUCCCUCCGUUACCAAGUCUACUGCCACCACUUUCCCCUCCACUGCCCAGUCCACUACUCUGAACCCCUGCCCUGUGUGCUGCCAGCCCCUCUCCUCCUCCUCUGGUGCCGUUCCCCAACAGCAGCACAGUAGUGGAAGUGGAAGGGGCCAAGGCGGCGGCCGGCGAUCGAAGCCCUACACACCACUGUGGCUGACUGAGCGGAGAGAGGAGCGGAGAACGAGAGAGCGUCUGGCUGGCAUCGAGUGUCUGAAGGAGCAGCUGAAGCAGAACGGCCAAACGCAGAGAGCGCGGAUCCAACACAAUACAGAGGUCGUCACCGCAACGAUCCGGGCAAUCGUGCAGAUCAAAGAGGCGAGGCUGAACCCACAGCCAAGUGACCGUGAUGAAGACCGUUAG
Molecule: long non-coding RNA, 1242 nt
Filed under: Neogobius melanostomus (round goby)
Lineage: Eukaryota; Metazoa; Chordata; Actinopteri; Gobiiformes; Gobiidae
Description: lncRNA (ENSNMLG00000014449.1)
Source: RNAcentral